This 753-nucleotide long non-coding RNA is filed under the name Cricetulus griseus (Chinese hamster). Its description in RNAcentral is "lncRNA (ENSCGRG00015041673.1)". The record is from RNAcentral. Lineage: Eukaryota; Metazoa; Chordata; Mammalia; Rodentia; Cricetidae.
ACCUCAUAGUAGCAGGCACGCUAUCACAGAGGCCUGUAAUCCCAGCCCUGAGUACAGCCAUUCUGGAACUUUCUCCAACAUAUGCCAGUCCAGAUGAGCCUCCCUCAGGAACCAAACUACAAAUGUGACAUAGGCAGCUAGUAUAAUAAGUGAGAAGAACAGAAAAAUAUGUUACUACCUGGGAAACUAAGGUUGCAGGCUAAUGGACUUGUGUCCAAUAACACCACCUUCCUCAAACAAAAGAAGUGUGGAGCAUUAAUGCAGAGCUUAUACACAAUUAUAUAAGAAAGCCUUUUAAGGACAGACACACACCUAACCAUGGUCAAUUAAGGAGCACACUUCUGAACAUGCGCAGUUCCUUCCCACAUGAUCCUCUGUGGAGAUCAACUUGCAACACAAGAGAAUGUCUUCCCCCACAGCAAAGUGGAAAGAUGUACAUUAUGAAGCUAGGUUUAGCCUGCUGGAUUCUGAGACACCUGUCCAAUUGACCCUCUCUCAUCAGUCAACCAUGAAGCCAAUCAGUAGGACAUCUGGGAGCAGCCAGCCCCAGCCGGCUUGCCAAGUGGCUGCAGCCAUCUGUGUGAUUCCAGCCACCACCAUAUGGAGCAGAGUUUGAACUGGCUGCAGCAAGCUCCCAGGAUUUUCCUGUUUCUGCCUCUACAUCACUGGAAGUCCACAUGACCAUGCCCAGCUUUUUACAGGUUUACUAUGGAUGCAACUCAGAUCCUCACAUUUGUGAGGCAAGCACUUUAC